Molecule: long non-coding RNA, 453 nt
Filed under: Gossypium raimondii (Peruvian cotton)
Lineage: Eukaryota; Viridiplantae; Streptophyta; Magnoliopsida; Malvales; Malvaceae
Description: long non-coding RNA (GRAI_LNC009207)
Source: RNAcentral
GACUGGAGAUGGAGCAAGAAUUCGGAAAGGUCUGGGAAAAAGGUAGGGGAGAGAGAGAAGUAGUAAAGAGAAGAGGGCAGAGAGAAGAGAAGAUUCGACAACCCAAAGAAGAGAGAAGAGAAAGAGGAUUCGUUAGAGGGGACUAACGAUCUAUUCUGUCAAAAGAAAAACAAGAAGAGAAAUAAAAAAGAAUAAAAGGAAAAGCAGGAAAACAAAUGAGCAAACCCGAAAGGUACCCACAUUCUUUAGCAAUAUUCGGCACAAGCAAAACGUGAAAGAAAAACUGACCAAAUCAAAGCACACGGAGAGAAAAAAACCCUAAAACCGAUUCCCACAAAGCCUAAAGGCCAAAUUCGACACAAGUCUACCCCCAAACGGCACUAUUCCUCAUUGAUUUUCUCCACCAAUUCCUCCUCAACUUCCCCAACCACUCUAUUCAACAUUCAUUCAAAC